GCCUGGGUGGCUCAGUCGGUUAAGCGUCUGACUUCAGCUCAGGUCAUGAUCUCACGGUCUGUGGGUUCGAGCCCCACGUCGGGCU
This 85-nucleotide transfer RNA is filed under the name Felis catus (domestic cat). It matches the Rfam family "tRNA". Rfam says of the family: Transfer RNA (tRNA) molecules are approximately 80 nucleotides in length. The record is from Rfam by way of RNAcentral. Lineage: Eukaryota; Metazoa; Chordata; Mammalia; Carnivora; Felidae.